This 478-nucleotide ribosomal RNA is filed under the name uncultured Pseudomonadota bacterium. RNAcentral's name for it is "bacterial SSU rRNA". It matches the Rfam family "Bacterial small subunit ribosomal RNA", at positions 8 to 522 of the family's 1533-position model. Lineage: Bacteria; Pseudomonadati; Pseudomonadota. The record is from RNAcentral.
AGAGUUUGAUCAUGGCUCAGAACGAACGCUGGCGGCAGGCCUAACACAUGCAAGUCGAACGAUAAGCCACCUUCGGGUGGUGGACAGUGGCAGACGGGUGAGUAACGCGUGGGAACGUGCCUUUCGGUUCGGAAUAACCCAGGGAAACUUGGGCUAAUACCGGAUACGCCCUUCGGGGGAAAGAUUCAUUGCCGAAAGAUCGGCCCGCGCCGGAUUAGCUAGUUGGUGGGGUAAUGGCUCACCAAGGCGACGAUCCGUAGCUGGUCUGAGAGGAUGACCAGCCACACUGGGACUGAGACACGGCCCAGACUCCUACGGGAGGCAGCAGUGGGGAAUAUUGGACAAUGGGCGCAAGCCUGAUCCAGCCAUGCCGCGUGGGUGAAGAAGGCCUUAGGGUUGUAAACCCCUUUCAGCGGGGAAGAUAAUGACGGUACCCGCAGAAGAAGUCCCGGCUAACUCCGUGCCAGCAGCCGCGGUA